This 147-nucleotide non-coding RNA is filed under the name Gorilla gorilla gorilla (western lowland gorilla). Lineage: Eukaryota; Metazoa; Chordata; Mammalia; Primates; Hominidae. The record is from Rfam by way of RNAcentral.
GCUGGGCAUGGUGGCGCAUGCCUGUAAUCCCAGUUACUUGGGAGGCUGAGGUGGGAGAAUCGCUUGAACCCAGGAGGCGGAGGUUGUGGUGAGCAGAGAUCAUGCCACUGCACUCUAGCCUGGGUGGCAAAGUGGAAUCCAUCUCAG